AUUGAACGCUGGCGGCAGGCCUAACACAUGCAAGUCGAACGGUAGCACAGAGAGCUUGCUCUUGGGUGACGAGUGGCGGACGGGUGAGUAAUGUCUGGGAAACUGCCCGAUGGAGGGGGAUAACUACUGGAAACGGUAGCUAAUACCGCAUAACGUCUUCGGACCAAAGUGGGGGACCUUCGGGCCUCACACCAUCGGAUGUGCCCAGAUGGGAUUAGCUAGUAGGUGGGGUAAUGGCUCACCUAGGCGACGAUCCCUAGCUGGUCUGAGAGGAUGACCAGCCAAACUGGAACUGAGACACGGUCCAGACUCCUACGGGAGGCAGCAGUGGGGAAUAUUGCACAGUGGGCGCAAGCCUGAUGCAGCCAUGCCGCGUGUAUGAAGAAGGCCUUCGGGUUGUAAAGUACUUUCAGCGGGGAGGAAGGCGAUGGAGUUAAUAGCUUCAUCGAUUGACGUUACCCGCAGAAGAAGCACCGGCUAACUCCGUGCCAGCAGCCGCAGUAA
Molecule: ribosomal RNA, 504 nt
Filed under: uncultured bacterium
Lineage: Bacteria
Description: partial 16S ribosomal RNA
Rfam family: Bacterial small subunit ribosomal RNA
Source: RNAcentral